Phyllopteryx taeniolatus (common seadragon) is the source of this 1363-nucleotide long non-coding RNA. RefSeq lists it as uncharacterized. The transcript is spliced from 2 exons. The record is from RefSeq and is a predicted model, not a curated record. NCBI's taxonomy places the organism in Eukaryota, Metazoa, Chordata, Actinopteri, Syngnathiformes, Syngnathidae.
GCGCGAGGCACAGCGGGACCGUCUGGGACAACGACAGGCGGGCACGACCGGCCACGCGGCUUCGGAAUUGGGAGUCCCGCAGGAGAGCAGUCACGUACUGAGUGAGGACAGAUCAUGUUGAUAAAAUGCUGGAGAUUUCGUCGUCCGCUUCCCCAAAUUCUCCCCGCCCCCGGAUUCCCUGCGUGCCCCCCUCCCUCACUGAACUGCCUGUUCGUUGGCUGUGCUGCCCGAGUCCUGUGGCUUCAUGACGUCCGGGAGCUCCGGGGGGGUAGAGAAGGGCUCCAUCCUCAGCUGCUCGAAUGAAUCAUCUGCGGGGAAGACAAGUCGGGAAUUUGAGACCGCCACACACACACACACACACACAAUCUUCCAUGACAGAAUAAAAAAUUUAAAAAAAGUUAGUUUUACCGCUGAGCCUGAAAGCUAAGCCCACGGUGCCGGGCGACUGAGGCCGCGCCGUCUGGUUGGUGAAGCCACAGUUUCCGAGCGUCUGAGUGUCAUCCAGUUCCAUGUCAUCCUGAACACCACCACAAAUCAAGUCACUGGAGCAGUAAGUUUGUGAAUAAAGCCCCAGUGGAAAAGGUACAGUGGUGCCUUGAUUUAGAAGUUUAAAUCGUUCCGUGGCUACGCUCGUAACUUAAAUCGCCCCUAUCUCAAAUCAAGUUUCCCCAUUGAAAUGAAUGGAAAUGCCCCAAAAAUCACAACCCAAGAUCUGUGAAAAUUCUUUUAAAUGUGAAAAAUAGCAUGUUACAGUUUUGUACUUUAUAAAAACACAGUAAUUUUAUAAAAACAUACAGUAAUUAAAAACACAGUCAUAAUUAGGAGUGGGGGUCUUUUUAUCGACACCACUUCCGCUUCAGCGGCACUCGGCAAAGCGGUGUUUACCCAGAAGUGUCUGCCCAUCUUCGUUUUUGUGAGAUAAUGUGCGAUCACGUGAGAUUUCAAAUUCAGCGACCGCAGAAUCCUUGUGUGUGGUGUUGAGAUUAGACGAACAAACUGUUAAAUGUCAGAUUUUUUUAUUUUUGUGUAGGGUCUGUCACAGGUUAAAAAAAAAAAGGCUUUAAAGAUUUGAAAAAUCCUUGUGUCCAGGCCUAUGCUACAAUAAUAUGUCAUUUUUUGCAGAGGAUAAAGAAUAUAUGCCUGUCAGUACUGUUGAAUGCUACAGCUUAUGUUCAAAUUUAUGUUGUUUAAAGGGUUAUAACUACCACACCAAUUAUGCUAGUUUUGCCUGUAUGGCAUUUUGCAUUGCAUGUUAGCAUUAAGCUAGCAGAGUUUCGUAAGACAAAAAAUAUGGUUUGGUUAAAUACACAAUAUGUAAUUAUUUUUAUGUUUAGUUUUAAAGUAAACUUCCACACAGCUUGAA